Molecule: ribosomal RNA, 1372 nt
Filed under: uncultured bacterium
Lineage: Bacteria
Description: bacterial SSU rRNA
Rfam family: Bacterial small subunit ribosomal RNA
Source: RNAcentral
GAUGAACGCUGGCGGCGUGCCUAAUACAUGCAAGUCGAGCGAACGGACGAGAAGCUUGCUUCUCUGAUGUUAGCGGCGGACGGGUGAGUAACACGUGGAUAACCUACCUAUAAGACUGGGAUAACUUCGGGAAACCGGAGCUAAUACCGGAUAAUAUUUUGAACCGCAUGGUUCAAAAGUGAAAGACGGUCUUGCUGUCACUUAUAGAUGGAUCCGCGCUGCAUUAGCUAGUUGGUAAGGUAACGGCUUACCAAGGCAACGAUGCAUAGCCGACCUGAGAGGGUGAUCGGCCACACUGGAACUGAGACACGGUCCAGACUCCUACGGGAGGCAGCAGUAGGGAAUCUUCCGCAAUGGGCGAAAGCCUGACGGAGCAACGCCGCGUGAGUGAUGAAGGUCUUCGGAUCGUAAAACUCUGUUAUUAGGGAAGAACAUAUGUGUAAGUAACUGUGCACAUCUUGACGGUACCUAAUCAGAAAGCCACGGCUAACUACGUGCCAGCAGCCGCGGUAAUACGUAGGUGGCAAGCGUUAUCCGGAAUUAUUGGGCGUAAAGCGCGCGUAGGCGGUUUUUUAAGUCUGAUGUGAAAGCCCACGGCUCAACCGUGGAGGGUCAUUGGAAACUGGAAAACUUGAGUGCAGAAGAGGAAAGUGGAAUUCCAUGUGUAGCGGUGAAAUGCGCAGAGAUAUGGAGGAACACCAGUGGCGAAGGCGACUUUCUGGUCUGUAACUGACGCUGAUGUGCGAAAGCGUGGGGAUCAAACAGGAUUAGAUACCCUGGUAGUCCACGCCGUAAACGAUGAGUGCUAAGUGUUAGGGGGUUUCCGCCCCUUAGUGCUGCAGCUAACGCAUUAAGCACUCCGCCUGGGGAGUACGACCGCAAGGUUGAAACUCAAAGGAAUUGGCGGGGACCCGCACAAGCGGUGGAGCAUGUGGUUUAAUUCGAAGCAACGCGAAGAACCUUACCAAAUCUUGACAUCCUUUGACAACUCUAGAGAUAGAGCCUUCCCCUUCGGGGGACAAAGUGACAGGUGUUGCAUGGUUGUCGUCAGCUCGUGUCGUGAGAUGUUGGGUUAAGUCCCGCAACGAGCGCAACCCUUAAGCUUAGUUGCCAUCAUUAAGUUGGGCACUCUAAGUUGACUGCCGGUGACAAACCGGAGGAAGGUGGGGAUGACGUCAAAUCAUCAUGCCCCUUAUGAUUUGGGCUACACACGUGCUACAAUGGACAAUACAAAGGGCAGCGAAACCGCGAGGUCAAGCAAAUCCCAUAAAGUUGUUCUCAGUUCGGAUUGUAGUCUGCAACUCGACUACAUGAAGCUGGAAUCGCUAGUAAUCGUAGAUCAGCAUGCUACGGUGAAUACGUUCCCGGGUCU